RNAcentral lists this unclassified non-coding RNA (152 nucleotides) under uncultured fungus. RNAcentral describes it as "sequence contains ITS1". Lineage: Eukaryota; Fungi. The record is from RNAcentral.
UUGUUUUUGUUAAGAUAACAAGACGUUCGUUACACUGAUGUUUGUAUAGUUUGUUAGACCCGGAGGUCAAACGGUUCACAGAGGUGAGGGAUGUUAAGAUAAGACCUUUCGGUCAAUCAUUAAUGAUCCUUCCGCAGGUUCACCUACGGAAA